Molecule: transfer RNA, 71 nt
Filed under: Loxodonta africana (African savanna elephant)
Lineage: Eukaryota; Metazoa; Chordata; Mammalia; Proboscidea; Elephantidae
Rfam family: tRNA
About the family: Transfer RNA (tRNA) molecules are approximately 80 nucleotides in length. Their secondary structure includes four short double-helical elements and three loops (D, anti-codon, and T loops). Further hydrogen bonds mediate the characteristic L-shaped molecular structure. tRNAs have two regions of fundamental functional importance: the anti-codon, which is responsible for specific mRNA codon recognition, and the 3' end, to which the tRNAs corresponding amino acid is attached (by aminoacyl-tRNA synthetases). tRNAs cope with the degeneracy of the genetic code in two manners: having more than one tRNA (with a specific anti-codon) for a particular amino acid; and 'wobble' base-pairing, i.e. permitting non-standard base-pairing at the 3rd anti-codon position.
Source: Rfam by way of RNAcentral
GCAAUGGUGAUUCAGUGGUAGAAUUCUUGUCUUCCAUGCAGGAGACCCAGGUUCAAUUUCUAGUCAAUGAC